GGAUGUAUUCCCUUGAUAACUUGCUAUUAGACAUAGUAUUGCCUUGGGAGGAUUGGAAAAAAUAUGUGUGAACAAAUUGAUUGUCCUAAUACCAAGUAAUUGCUUUCAUACCAAAUCCUCUACAGGUCUCUAGAAUUACAGUGUAAAGUUAGUUAUAAUUUAAGAACAAAAACAAAGAAAAGAAAAAAAAGAGUUAUUGUUGUGAUAAUGCUCAUAACCUGAACAAAACAACAACUAUAUAUAGCUACUACAUGUACAAAACAACAGGGCACAGUACGUUUGCGCUUUUUUACCUGUAAAACGAUAG
This 307-nucleotide long non-coding RNA is filed under the name Mytilus galloprovincialis (Mediterranean mussel). The record is from RNAcentral. Lineage: Eukaryota; Metazoa; Mollusca; Bivalvia; Mytilida; Mytilidae.